UACAAAAAUAUUGAGUUUUUGGUAAAUAAUUUAUAUACUGAAGCCUAUAAUCUUUAGUGUGGUUUUAAAAUUUCUACCAUAUUCCACAUUUGUAUUAAUGUAUGCUAAACUCUUUUUCAUGGUAAAUGAGCAUCGUUCAAUUGUUUUUAUCAAUUAAUUUAGUAAAACUUCAUAAUACCCCCUAAAUCGAUGGAAUAACCAAUAUAAAAUUAUUAUUUUCUUGAUAAACGGAGAGCACAAAGGCUCCAAACCUCUUUGAACAUCAUCAUAUGUUAGUGCAGGAUUCAACUAGGCAUUAAAACAAUAUAGUCAUAUUUUUUAAAAUUUUCUCAAAAUCUAUGGGCUAACCCCUACAAAAAUAUUGAGUUUUUGGUAAAUACUUUAUAUACUGAAGCCUAUAAUCAUUAGUGUUGUUUUAAAAUUUAUACCAUAUUCUACAUUUGUAUUAAUGUAUGCUAAACUCUUUUUUCAUGGUAAAUGAGCAUCUUUCAAUUGUUUUUAUCAAAUAAUUUGAUAAAACUUCAUAAUACUCCCUAAAUCGAUGGAAUAACCACUAUAAAGUUAUUAUUUUCCUGAUAAAUGGAGACGACAAAAGCUCCAAACCUCUUUGAAAAUCAUCAUAUGUUAGUGCAGGAUGCAACUAGGCAUUGAAACAAUAUUGUCAUAUUUUUUGAAUAUUUCUCAAAAUAUAUGGGCUAACCCCUACAAAAAUAUUGAGUUUUUGGUAAAUACUUUGUAUAUUGAAGCCUAUAAUCUUUAGUGUUGUUUUAAAAUUUAUACCAUAUUCUACAUUUGUAUUAAUCUAUGCUAAACUCUUUUCAUGGUAAAUGAGCAUCUUUCAAUUGUUUUUAUCAAAUAAUUUAAUAAAACUUCAUAAUACUCCCUAAAUCGAUGGAAUAACCACUAUAAAGUUAUUAUUAUCCUGAUAAAUGGAGACGACAAAGGCUCCAAACCUCUUUGAAAAUCAUCAUAUGUUAGCGCAGGAUGCAACUAGGCAUUGAAACAAUAUUGUCAUAUUUUUUGAAAUUUUCUCAAAAUCUAUGGGCUAACCCCUCCAAAAAUAUUGAGUUUUUGGUAAAUACUUUAUAUAUUGAAGCCUAUAAUCUUUAGUGUUGUUUUAAAAUUUCUACCAUAUUCUACAUUUGUAUUAAUGUAUGCUAAAAUCUUUUUCAUGGUAAAUGAGCAUCGUUCAAUUGUUUUUAUCAAUUAAUUUAGGAAAACUUCAUAAUACCCCCUAAAUCGAUGGAAUAACCAAUAUAAAAUUAUUAUUUUCUUGAUAAACGGAUACGACAAAGGCUUCAAACCUCUUUGAAAAUCAUCAUAUGUUAGUGCAGGAUGCAACUAGGCAUUAAAACAAUAUUGUCAUAUUUUUUGAAAUUUUCUCAAAAUCUAUGGGCUAACUA
This 1403-nucleotide long non-coding RNA is filed under the name Brassica napus (rape). Its description in RNAcentral is "long non-coding RNA (BNAP_LNC004778)". The record is from RNAcentral. Lineage: Eukaryota; Viridiplantae; Streptophyta; Magnoliopsida; Brassicales; Brassicaceae.